RNAcentral lists this transfer RNA (76 nucleotides) under Actinomycetes bacterium. Its description in RNAcentral is "Actinobacteria bacterium tRNA-Glu". It matches the Rfam family "tRNA". Rfam says of the family: Transfer RNA (tRNA) molecules are approximately 80 nucleotides in length. Their secondary structure includes four short double-helical elements and three loops (D, anti-codon, and T loops). Further hydrogen bonds mediate the characteristic L-shaped molecular structure. tRNAs have two regions of fundamental functional importance: the anti-codon, which is responsible for specific mRNA codon recognition, and the 3' end, to which the tRNAs corresponding amino acid is attached (by aminoacyl-tRNA synthetases). tRNAs cope with the degeneracy of the genetic code in two manners: having more than one tRNA (with a specific anti-codon) for a particular amino acid; and 'wobble' base-pairing, i.e. permitting non-standard base-pairing at the 3rd anti-codon position. The record is from RNAcentral. Lineage: Bacteria; Bacillati; Actinomycetota; Actinomycetes. RNAcentral also lists the same sequence under 1 other name.
GCCGCUAUCGUCUAGGGGACUAGGACGCCGGAUUCUCAGUCCGGAAACCCGGGUUCGAAUCCCGGUAGCGGUGCCU